UUCCUUACAACACAACGCAUUCAAAAUCAAAGGGGAAUGAUAAUUUGAAAAAGCUUCUUCCAGGCUGAUACAAUGAACACAUGAAUAAGGAAAAAAGACAAAAGAAAUCCGUAAGUCAGGGAUAUGCACUGAUGACACCAGAAGGCGAUUCAGAAACACCAUUAUCAUUCACGUCACACAAAGCUCUCAAUCCCUCAAAUCACUCUCUACUCACUCAACAGAAACCCCUAGACUGUCUUUGCUCCUCUCCACUCCAACCAUUUUUCCCUUUCACUUCCAAUUAUUCACCUCCAACAUCUCAUUACCGCACUCUAGAAUUCACCUCGACCAAAAAUCAGAAUCCAUUUUUCAUGGCCACUCUCCUUACAAUUACAAAGCUGUGUUUCUCUAGUCUAACACCAAGGCCAUUGAACAAGAAGUGGAGUUAAAUCACAAGAAAAAAGAUUACAAGGAUUUAAGAGGAAAAUGUGAACAUAGAAGGUAAGAUCUCCUUCGUUGCUCGCGAGUUAUAAAUGUUAGAUAGCGUCUCUGCUUCUGGUUUUGAUUCGGUGAUGCUUGGCUUUAUUUGCUUCUGGUUUUGAUUUGGUCAUGCCUGGCCUUGUCUGCUUGAAUAUACGGUUAUAUUGAAUGGCUUUGUUUUGAACAUGCAAUUAUAUUGGACGGCUUUACCUGCUUGAACAUGCAAUAUAUAUAUGAUUUGCUUCUGCACACUGUUUGUUAUUCCUCCAUCCCAACAGCAUAAGUACAUUACGCCACCUUCAACCAUUGGAGACCAUUACUCUCCUUGCAUAACCCAAACCUGCAAAUUAAUAUCCUGCAUCUCAGCCCAAAUUCCAGUAACCUGCCCUCUACAGAUACAUCAUCUUCCCAACGAACCGAAUCCCAAAUUUACUUUAGCUCUUCUUAUUCCUCCAUAUUCUCUGUCAAAGCCGAUAGCCCAUAUCCAUCCUAUACAAUCAAAACCCUACGGCCAUUUUUCCUGCAAGAGAAAAGCAUAAACCCUUCUUUACAGAUUCAUCAUCUUCCUAUCCCAAAUCCCCCUGUUAAAGAAAUUACAGCAAGUUGCAAACCAAUUUCACACGAUCUUCAACCACAACCACAAGAGGCAACACUAAUCAGGAAAUCAGUUCGUCUUACGCUCACCUUGUGUGUUCUAAUCAAUCAACCCUAGCACAAAAUGCAACACAAUGAGUGUGAACGCGAAGAGCACUUGACCGUUUAAGCCUUCUGCGGUAACGACGUGUCUUACUGGUUGGCGUCUCUGUAAUGGCGGCCUCGGUUGUGAUAGCAAGGGCAUCUUGAACCGCUGUGAACGGGCACGGCUCCCACCGUUUGCCGACAACGGCGGCGACGCCCAGUUUCAUUGACAACAGCGGCGACGCCCAAUUGCACUGAAAGCGGUGGUUUCGUUCGAAGAAGAAGGUUGGUUCGUGCGACGCUUUCGGUGCAGGUCAGGGCCGCCGGCGAUGAUGCGACGACGAACCUCGACGACGGCGUAGGGUGGCGGUUUGACGGCUGGCCUUGGUUGCGGAGUUGGGUGCAGCGCGCGAAAAGGGGAAAGCUCCCUCGGGCUAGCGUUUCCCUCAUUGACGACGUCGCCGGUGUGGCUUUGGCCAGCCAUGGGUACGUAUGACGAGACUGGUCAUCUUGGUGGCUAGGCGGUUCGCGGCGGUCGGCGAAAGUGGAAGCCUCCAGGAUUGCCGAUGGAGUGAGGGAGAGACUCUAGGUCUCAGGCUGAAGUGUUGAAAUGAGGUGGGGAAGCUUGAACCCCUCGUGUGUUUCUAAGUCAGGAGAUAGCUUUGGGCUUGAGUGCCUAGGCUGGCCUAAUAAAAAAAAGGAUCCCGUUAUUUUGACAUCAUAAAUUUGACACUUAUUUGACAUUGUCACGUGUCAACAUGCUAUUGGCUAUUUUUAUUUUUUAUUUUUUUUAAAAAAUUUGGUCUAAAAAAUGCAGAGUUUUUCAGAGAGAAUGUUUUCCUUUUCUACCCCUGGGCAUUUUGAGUUUGAAUGUGAAGGAUUGGUUUUCUCUCAGAAUUGGUUUCUCUCUCAGAAUUGGUUUCUCUCUCACAUUUAUCGUCUUCUCCAUUAACGCUCACGGACUACUCUUCUCCACAGUCUCGUCGUCUCCAUUGCUCUCCACUGCUCUGAAAUGGCAAGUUCCGGAUUCGAGCAUCGCUGGACGAAG
RNAcentral lists this long non-coding RNA (2185 nucleotides) under Vigna radiata. Its description in RNAcentral is "long non-coding RNA (VRAD_LNC005722)". The record is from RNAcentral. Lineage: Eukaryota; Viridiplantae; Streptophyta; Magnoliopsida; Fabales; Fabaceae.